This 301-nucleotide RNase P RNA is filed under the name Galbibacter marinus. RNAcentral describes it as "Gillisia sp. ck-I2-15 Bacterial RNase P class A". It matches the Rfam family "Bacterial RNase P class A". Rfam says of the family: Ribonuclease P (RNase P) is a ubiquitous endoribonuclease, found in archaea, bacteria and eukarya as well as chloroplasts and mitochondria. Its best characterised activity is the generation of mature 5'-ends of tRNAs by cleaving the 5'-leader elements of precursor-tRNAs. The record is from Rfam by way of RNAcentral. Lineage: Bacteria; Pseudomonadati; Bacteroidota; Flavobacteriia; Flavobacteriales; Flavobacteriaceae.
CGAGCAGGUCACCUUAUCGCCAUAUUAAUAUGGAGGAAAGUCCGGACACCAUAGCGUAGCAUAGCGGCUAACAGCCGUCGGCCGAAAGGUUAGGACAAGUGCAACAGAAAGCAAGUACAGGUAAUGCUGUAGUGAAAUCAGGUAAACUCUAUGCGGUGCAACGUCAUGUAAACUAAUGUUUGAGGGUUACGCGCCCGAUGUUAGAGGGUAGGCGGCUAGAGUCUUGUAGCAAUGCAAGACCGAGAUAAAUGAUAAGGACUCUUUUUUGGGGACAGAAUCCGGCUUAUGACCUGCUUAUUUU